Molecule: long non-coding RNA, 479 nt
Organism: Phyllostomus discolor (pale spear-nosed bat)
Lineage: Eukaryota; Metazoa; Chordata; Mammalia; Chiroptera; Phyllostomidae
Exons: 2
Source: RefSeq, a predicted model, not a curated record
GGGCAGGGGGAGGGGGCUGGAACAGCUACUGUCAGAUCUGAAAAGGAAGGUGGAAGAGCGCGGGAGCCACGACGCCAUGUCCCGGGUUGCUUUGUAGGUAGCUUUGUGUCUUGAGCCUUCGAUAAUGCAAACAACCAGCUCCAUGCGACCCAACCGAGUGGUUUUACAGGUGUCAAACUGAGGCCCAAGGGAGGGAAGCAUCUGGUUAAAGAGUAUCUGCUGUGAGUCCAGACAGAGUCCUGGUGAUCUAGCACACAUAGUUCAUCCUGUCAAAGGCCCAGUUUUCUUUCUCUGUUUCGUACCUCAGGCUUUUGUCAGACUUCAGAAUGAACGCUGAGUUUGGAGCCUAGCAUGGAGUAAGUGCUCUAUAAAAGUGGUGCACGUAACCCAGUGACAUAACCCAGUGCCUCACAGCUGUGCCGCUUGGAAAGGAAGCUGGGCCGUUCCCAAAAUGAAAUAAAACAGAACUUGAAAAAUUA